GCCCCGUCACACCCUGGGGAGUUGGUUUUGCCUGAAAGAACGGUGUUCUAACCGGCAAGGAGGGCAGCCGGGCCACGGUAGGGUCAGCGACUGGGGUGAAGUCGUAACAAGGUAGCCGUAGGGGAACCUGCGGCUGGAUCACCUCCUUUCUAAGGAAAGAUGUUGAGUAUCAUUGAAUUUAUUGAGUGAUCUGAACGUUUUUUGAAGAUUAAAGCUUUUAAUUAAGCUUGAUAUAAAUUUGCUGUUGUGAAGCAGCGUUUUUAAAAGGAUCGCCGUCCAUGUUUCUCUUUCUUUUCGGAUUUUUUGCGAUGAUGGGGGGUCGUUAAUAUUUGGUUUUGAGGGCCCGUAGCUCAGGUGGUUAGAGUGCACCCCUGAUAAGGGUGAGGUCGGUAGUUCAAAUCUACCUGGGCCCACCACUUUUUGUUCAGGGGGCCGUAGCUCAGUCGGUAGAGCGCCUGCUUUGCAAGCAGGAUGCCAGCGGUUCGAUUCCGCUCGGCUCCACCAUUGGCGUAAUUAUGGAAUUUUGUUCUGAUUUUUUGGAGCAAGAGUUUUUUGAAAAUUGAAUAGAAGAUAUAUUUUUUUGUAUUUUUUAUGUUGGCAUUGUAUGCGACAUAUAAGAUACCGGCGUUGUUAACCGCACGUUGAG
RNAcentral lists this unclassified non-coding RNA (646 nucleotides) under Candidatus Liberibacter asiaticus. Its description in RNAcentral is "partial contains 16S ribosomal RNA, 16S-23S ribosomal RNA intergenic spacer, and 23S ribosomal RNA". The stretch from base 1 to 149 matches the Rfam family "Bacterial small subunit ribosomal RNA", at positions 1392 to 1533 of the family's 1533-position model. Lineage: Bacteria; Pseudomonadati; Pseudomonadota; Alphaproteobacteria; Hyphomicrobiales; Rhizobiaceae. The record is from RNAcentral.